This 229-nucleotide unclassified non-coding RNA is filed under the name plant metagenome. Its description in RNAcentral is "partial contains small subunit ribosomal RNA, internal transcribed spacer 1, and 5.8S ribosomal RNA". The record is from RNAcentral.
UCUCCGUAGGUGAACCUGCGGAGGGAUCAUUACAGAGUUCAUGCCCUACCGGGUAGAUCUCCCACCCUAUGUUAUUAUUACUUUGUUGCUUUGGCGGGCCGUUAGGCUCCGGCCCGAUUACCGGCCCCGGCUGGUAAGCGCCCGCCAGAGGACCCAAAACCCUGAAUAUUAGUGUCGUCUGAGUACUAUAUAAUAGUUAAAACUUUCAACAACAGAUCUCUUGGUUCUG